Molecule: ribosomal RNA, 497 nt
Filed under: uncultured bacterium
Lineage: Bacteria
Description: partial 16S ribosomal RNA
Rfam family: Bacterial small subunit ribosomal RNA
Source: RNAcentral
GAUGAACGCUGGCGGCGUGCCUAAUACAUGCAAGUCGAGCGAACAGACGAGGAGCUUGCUCCUCUUACGUUAGCGGCGGACGGGUGAGUAACACGUGGAUAACCUACCUAUAAGACUGGGAUAACUUCGGGAAACCGGAGCUAAUACCGGAUAAUAUAUUGAACCGCAUGGUUCAAUAGUGAAAGACGGUUUUGCUGUCACUUAUAGAUAGAUCCGCGCCGCAUUAGCUAGUUGGUAAGGUAACGGCUUACCAAGGCAACGAUGCGUAGCCGACCUGAGAGGGUGAUCGGCCACACUGGAACUCAGACACGGUCCAGACUCCUACGGGAGGCAGCAGUAGGGAAUCUUCCGCAAUGGGCGAAAGCUUGACGGAGCAACGCCGCGUGAGUGAUGAAGGUCUUCGGAUCGUAAAACUCUGUUAUUAGGGAAGAACAAAUGUGUAAGUAACUAUGCACGUCUUGACGGUACCUAAUCAGAAAGCCACGGCUAACUACGUG